UCCAUGAAUGUCUUUCCUGGUGUACUCCUAGGAAGAGUGGAUUUCAGAGAAACGGAGCCCUUCCCUUUGGAGGCAGCUGACAUGCGCUUCACUGGAGAGCCUGCCUUCAGGGUUAGCCUUCUCUUUCUAAAAUGUGGAACCCACGAUCAGAGGGACUAAGCUAUUUGUCCAAGACCCCCCGGCUGGCAGGUGGUAGGCGCAAGAACUGAUUGGAUACCAAAUGCAGAACUCCAAACUCUGUCCCAGCUGCCAGGGCCUCCUCCUGUGUGGCCUCUCCUGUCCCCGGUGCCCGUGAGCAGGGCCGCCUGCUCCGGAUGGGACCCUGCGGGCCAGUGGCGCUCGGCCCACCCGGGGCUAUCACAAAUACCCCAGUGCCGCCAUCCUCUUGCCGGUGUUCCAGAGCCUCCCCUGACAGCCGACCUAGGAAGUGUCUGGUCCUGGAGUCAACUCCUGGAGGUCAACUGUGAGAACUGUGGGGGCGAGGCAGGUGGCCAGGACAGAGGCUGGUAGAUUGCUGACCCAGAGGGAAGCCCGCAGGGACCUGGGAGGACACCUGCAUUGUAGCGCCACCCAGCGGGGCAUCCAGGGAAAGCCACACUACCCACCUGGGCACACCUGUGCCCACACACACACAGACCCACACACAAACACCCACGCACCACCCACAUCCCCGCACACCAGGUGCCCAUGCACUGGUAAGUUUGUUGUUGCUGGCAGUGCCUGGCGAAAGCUCUGGGUGAUCCUGCAGUGAGCCACACCCAGGGUGGCCCAAGGCCCAGCUCCCUACUUACUGGCCUUAGGGGUGAAACAGCAGAGGUGGUGAAGCGAUUAUCCCGGUUCCCUGUCUCACAUGGAAGAAGAAUUUCCAAGCAGACAAGGCAAAGAGAAAAGCAAGAUAUAUUGAAGCCGGCACCGCAGCUCUAUAGGCUAAUCCUCCACCUGCGGCGCCGGCACCCCAGGUUCUAGUCCCUGUUGGGGCACUGGAUUCUGUCCAGGCUGCUCCUCUUCCAGUCCAGCUCUCUGCUGUGGCCUGGGAGGGCAGUGGAGAAUGGCCCAGGUGCUUGGGCCCUGCACUCACAUGGGAGACCAGGAGGAAGCACCUGGCUCCUGGCUUUGGAUUGGUGCAGCACCGGCCAUGGCGGCCAUUCGGGGGGUGAACCAACGGAAGGAAGACCUGGACUCCACCCCCAUCCUGUGUGUGUGCAGGGCACAGCGCCUCUUUGUGAAUGUGAGGGAAGCCCUCACCCCUUUACCUGAAAGAACCAGCAUUGCUGAGGCUGGGGGUGGGGGUGGCACAGAGCUCGCUGCUCUGUCUGAUGUCCACUCUCCAUCUAGGUGCACCCACGAGGGAGGGCACCCAUGGGAGUCUGGGCUGAUGGCUCCCCCGUGGCUUUGGGAAGUGGAAGCCGUCUCUCCCCGCACCCCUGCCACGAUGGGAAGGGUCAGAAGCCGGAGUGCUCACAGCAGUAGGUGCGGCUCCUGCAUUCCCGAGGACUUGUCACUGCGGAUCCUCUACGCAAUCUAAAAGCAGGGAUGCGGAGCUCCUAAGGGUCCUUCCAGCGACGGGAAGACGCAGCCGACUGCACGCUGAGUUAUCUGCAGCUCAAACUCAGCUCGCUCUGCAGCCGGAAGCUGGUUUAACGACACCUGCACCCGCUUCUCCAUGGCCGUGGACCCUCCCGGCCGAGGAACUAGCUCCCAGCAAGGAAAACAGUCUGUGCUGGUGGCCAGCCUGGAGGAGCUCCCUGCUGACACAGUGGAAGAUGGCCCAGGUCCUUGGGCCCCUGCACCCACGUGGGAGACCCAGAUGGAGUUCCAGGUUCCUGGCUUCUGCAACCAGCAAAUAGAUCUCUCUCUCCCUCUGUCUUUCUGUAACUCUUUCAAAUAAA
Non-coding RNA from Oryctolagus cuniculus (rabbit), 1889 nucleotides. The record is from RefSeq and is a predicted model, not a curated record. NCBI's taxonomy places the organism in Eukaryota, Metazoa, Chordata, Mammalia, Lagomorpha, Leporidae.